UACUGUCCGCGUGAGGGAUAGCAUUGGAAAUCCUUUUGUGAGGCACGAACAAAAGAUUGGAACGGAUAGCCCGACCCUUU
RNAcentral lists this small RNA (80 nucleotides) under Flavobacterium swingsii. RNAcentral describes it as "Flavo-1 RNA". It matches the Rfam family "Flavo-1 RNA". The record is from RNAcentral. Lineage: Bacteria; Pseudomonadati; Bacteroidota; Flavobacteriia; Flavobacteriales; Flavobacteriaceae.